CACACCACUGGUACUGCACACACAGGAGCGGUGCUCUUAUUUAGGGAAAAUAGAAGCAGCAGAAGGUUUGGGCGGGCUGUGGGAAGCAUGCGUGUCUGUGUGCUCUCCCUUGGCUGUUGCAGACUGAAGGAGCAAAGCUGGAACCCAGACAGCUUACACGCUCAGGUUGCUUUAGAUGCAGCCAUAACCCAGCAUGAACAGCAGGUACCUGGGUGGCAGAAUUUUGGGUGCAACUUUAGAAGCAGUGGGACUGCCACAUGCCUGUGUUCAGAAACUAAAGUCCAUCUGUAGU
Long non-coding RNA from Pogoniulus pusillus (Red-fronted tinkerbird), 292 nucleotides. RefSeq lists it as uncharacterized. The record is from RefSeq and is a predicted model, not a curated record. The transcript is spliced from 3 exons. NCBI's taxonomy places the organism in Eukaryota, Metazoa, Chordata, Aves, Piciformes, Lybiidae.